GAUAGAGAGAAAUGAGACACCAGCUCAUCACUGAUGGAGUACCAACGCUUUAGCAGUCAAAGGUAGAGGAAAAAAGUGUCCAGUUGUGGCACAGAAAAUGUUCUUGGAGGAUUUGCUGUUAAUUGACAAUGGGAAUAGGAAGGUCAGUCUCUGCCUGUUGCCUCUACUGCACAGAAAGAAAAUCAUACAUCUCACACAAUCAUACAUCUUACUGGGAGAGGCCAUAACCUCCAUUUUUAGGAGGACUCAGACCUACUGAAGAUGCCGUAAUACCUAAAAAUGAAAAAUUUUCUUUGAAGCCAUUCACUUCAUUCUUCUCUGCAAAGGCUUGAAAACAUUUAUUUGAAAUGACUUAGGAAAUGUUUUCUGCACACAAAUACUGGGUCUGAAAUAACUUCAGAGAUUUGCUGUAUUUCAUGGUGAUAUCACAAAAUCUUGACACUACUCUUGAACUCUUCACCUUUGAAUCUGACUUGAUGUAUUUCAUAUAUACCACUGGGAUUCAUGUCCUCUAGUUAAACUUCAGCAUACAAGAAAGGAGAAAUCCCCGACAUGUACAGACUGGAAAAAGAACUGAUGAAGAGCAGCCCCAUAGAGAAGGACUUGGGGAUUGUGAUGGAAGAAAAGUUGGACAUGAGCCAGCAGUGUGCUCUUGCAAUCCAGAAGGCUAACUGCAUCUUGGGUGACAUCAGAAGUGAGGUAUCCAACAAGCAGACUGAGGGAAUUUUCCCCUUCUUCUCUGUCCUUAUGAGGCCACAUCUGGAGUACUGCAUGUAGACUUGGGGCUCCAAGCAAAAGAAAAACGUAGAGCUGUUUCAGUGAGUUCGGAAGAGGACAUGAAGAUAAUCAGAGGGAUGGAGUACCUCUCUUAUGAAGAAAGGCUAGGGGACUAGCUCAGGGCUAGCUGAACUCUGCUCAGCCCAGAAAAGAAAAGUUUUGGGGGAAAGCUCUGUAAGACCUUCCAGUACGUAAAGGGAGCUUAUAAAAUACACAGAGACCAACUUUUUACACAGGCUGACAGUGAUGAGGGGGAAUAUUUCUAAACUAAAAGAAGAGAGAAUUAUGUUGGAUGUUAGGAGGACAUUCUUUAUUCAGGGAGUGGUGGAGCACUGGCACAGGCUGGCCAGAGAAGCCAUGGAUGCUCCAUCCCUCAAGGCUUUCAAGGACAGGUUAGAUGGGACCCUACGCAGCCUGAUCUAGAGGGUAGCAGCGUUGCCCACUGCAUGGGGGUUGGAACUGGAUCAUUUUAAGGUUCAUUUCAACCCCAACCAUUUUAUGAUUUUAUGAUAUGAUUAUAUGAUAAUUGCUAAUAAAAUAAAGGAAAAUGGAGAUAAAUAAAAACUAUAGAUCUUUACAUCUUAGAUGUACUACAUGAAUAAUUGCAUUUACUGGACAUCAUUUAAAAAGUUCAGUGUUUAUAAUUACCCAUAUUUCCAUCAUCUGUUCCACUGUACAAUUUCCUUUCUCAGACAUGAACUGAAUGUUUUGUUUGCGCUACAUCAUUUGCACAUUUGAUCAAGGAAUAUAAGGCUCUAUCAAAUCUCAAAGAGUUUUAGAUAAUACAGGAGUUUAUUUUUCUAGGUAUGAUUUGCAUUAUAACCAUCUGCAGUUCUUCCUAGUCUGGGAGAAUUUUAUUUGUGAGGAAAAGAAAGAAACACACUUAUCUUUAAUAUAUGAUCAUUAAAUAAAUAUCUUUAAUGCAGAAGAUUUGUUAUAUUAAGCAGUAUUAAAAAUUUAUCAGUCUCCUCCUUUAUUUUGAAAGGCUGUGUACAAGUGGGGAAGUAGAAUGAUACUAAUGUAGAAAGGUAUAAAUAGUAAUCAAAUGUUAUCACUCUUUACAAAUAAAAGCUUCAUUAUUUUAUUUGUUAC
This is a long non-coding RNA of Tympanuchus pallidicinctus (lesser prairie-chicken), 1869 nucleotides long. RefSeq lists it as uncharacterized. The record is from RefSeq and is a predicted model, not a curated record. The transcript has 5 exons. Lineage: Eukaryota; Metazoa; Chordata; Aves; Galliformes; Phasianidae.